AAGUCGUAACAAGGUAUCCGUAGGUGAACCUGCGGAUGGAUCAUUAACGUCAAUGAAAUUUAAACAGACGAUGACCCUUAAGCAAUUGUGGUCCAGUGACAAUCAACACAACUUGCCGUGUUGUCGUCUGUAAUAAUUCUCAUUAAUGUACACCCUUUGUGGUGAAAACAGGAAUAUUUUUAUUGUAGUAGUUAAUUUUUGAUUAAUGAUUCCACUUGUGGAUUAUUCCGCUUGUGGAGUUGUUUGAUAUCAGAGGUGCUAUUAUCAUCUAUAUAAAGACCCAAACAUUUAUUAACAUUUCUAAUGCUAAAGUAACCUUGUGAACUAAACAUUGAAAGCAAUUGAUAUAUUUGUUACCAAGUAAAACAAUUAAUAAAUCUAAUACAACUGCUAGCAACGGAUCACUCGGCUCUC
This 414-nucleotide unclassified non-coding RNA is filed under the name Syncephalis sp. Its description in RNAcentral is "partial internal transcribed spacer region". The stretch from base 1 to 46 matches the Rfam family "Eukaryotic small subunit ribosomal RNA", at positions 1786 to 1831 of the family's 1831-position model. The record is from RNAcentral. Lineage: Eukaryota; Fungi; Zoopagomycota; Zoopagomycetes; Zoopagales; Piptocephalidaceae.